UGUUUCCUUUGGUACACCAUUUACGAACACUAGAAUGGUACAGAGGUCAGUGUGGCCCCUGAGCAACGAUAACAUGCAAAUUCUUGAAGUGUUUCAGAUUAAA
Molecule: small nuclear RNA, 103 nt
Organism: Cercocebus atys (sooty mangabey)
Lineage: Eukaryota; Metazoa; Chordata; Mammalia; Primates; Cercopithecidae
Source: Ensembl